This is a long non-coding RNA of Trachymyrmex septentrionalis, 1050 nucleotides long. RefSeq lists it as uncharacterized. The transcript has 5 exons. The record is from RefSeq and is a predicted model, not a curated record. Lineage: Eukaryota; Metazoa; Arthropoda; Insecta; Hymenoptera; Formicidae.
CAUCCUCUCUCUCUAAGAUAUGGAUCGUUAUGAUCAAUACGAUUUAUAUCUUGGCAAGGAAGCUUUAGUAAUGUUGUACACUUGUGAUGUAUACGAAAGUACAUAUUUGUGAUGAGACAGAAAUGCAUUGUCAUCCUUGUAUGCAGGAUUAUAACCAUUUCUGUGUAGAUAAAAAUUUAUAUUUUUAUCUUUAAACGUGAAGUAUUUUUAUCUUCAAAAUAUGACGAACAAAUUAUUCAUAAAAGUUUGGUUGAUAAUAUGGGAUAACCAUCGUUAUGGAAAGUGAUCAAGACACUGAUCUUGCAAUUAAUUGGCAAAAUAAAAAAAUUGUGAACGAUGAAUAUUUAAUCGAAGUAGUUUGCAAACGUUUUCCAUCACAGAAUUUUAAGCAUCCUCUUGUUCAACGAAGCCUACAAAUAAAAAAAAUGCUAUGAGAAGAAAUAUCUGCAUCAAUGAUAGCAGCAUUUAUAAGUAGUCAUGAUUUUAGAUUAAACUUUGUUCAUAUUGAAUGUAUUUUUGUCUUUUCUAGGUAAAAUGGACGUUACAACUAUAAAAAAAAGAUGGAAAUCGUUAAACGAUAUUUUCAGGGUUUAUCAUAAAAAUAAACAACAUCAACCAAGUGAUUCAGCAAGUGACAUCACGCAAAAAUAGUUGAGUGUACUAUGAACGGAUGCAGUUUCUUAGCGAUGUACAACUUGAAAGCGAGUAUGUAUGUAUAAAAACUAUAACAAAUAUCUCAGUAGCUGGGACCAUAAUUCCGAUCAAUUUAAUGACGAUACUGUUUUUGAUAGCGCGAAUAGCAACAGUGGUCGUGGAUCGCGCGCGCGCGCGCGCGUAAUAAGCGUCUGAGUAGUUCAGACCAUGAGGAAACUAUUGAACGACUUGCUGAUGUUCUCAAACAACAGUUAACGUCCCACCGAUUGUUCCUCCGCUACCUAUGGAUAAAGCCGGUUUAUUUGGCAAUCUUAUAGCUGCCCAACUUUGAGAGGUUCCUCUACAAUUUAUGGAUGAUAUAAUGAUAAAAGUGCUGCAGAUUAUUAAUACCGUUAA